AUUGAACGCUGGCGGCAUGCUUUACACAUGCAAGUCGUGCGGCAGCGCGGGGGCAACCCUGGCGGCGAGCGGCGAACGGGUGAGGAAUACAUCGGAACGUACCCCGGAGUGGGGGAUAACCCAGCGAAAGUUGGACUAAUACCGCAUAUGCUCUGAGGAGGAAAGCAGGGGACUUCGCAAGAGGCCUUGCGCUCUGGGAGCGGCCGAUGUCCGAUUAGCUAGUUGGUGGGGAAUGGCUCACCAAGGCGACGAUCGGUAGCUGGUCUGAGAGGAUGAUCAGCCACACUGGGACUGAGACACGGCCCAGACUCCUACGGGAGGCAGCAGUGGGGAAUUUUGGACAAUGGGGGCAACCCUGAUCCAGCCAUGCCGCGUGCGGGAAGAAGGCCU
RNAcentral lists this ribosomal RNA (390 nucleotides) under uncultured bacterium. RNAcentral's name for it is "bacterial SSU rRNA". It matches the Rfam family "Bacterial small subunit ribosomal RNA", at positions 28 to 417 of the family's 1533-position model. The record is from RNAcentral.